AUUCCCAACAAUAAUAUGUCAAGUAAUAUUAAUGUAAAUAAUGUUAGUAAUGGUAGUACUGAUUUUAGUAAUAUGCCUGUUAGUAAUAAUAUACCAGAUAAUAAUAAUACACCCACUAGUAGUAGUAGUAGUAGUAUUAGUGGUAUACCCGAUGCAAAUAAUAAAAUGAAUGAAUAUACAACAAACAAUAAUAAUCCAUAUGUACAAAAUAUAACAUCUAUUGCUACACCUACAACAUUAGAGCAAAAUACAAAAGUAAACUUUUUCAAUUUAAUGAAUAAUAAUAGUAUGUUUAAUACAAAAGAAAUUAUGUGUAAUUCUAUCAACUGUAAUGUAUUAUCUACUGAUAAGGAUGUGAAUGAACCUUUAAUAGGUAAAACAAACAAAUGUGUUUUGCAUAUAUAUAUAUAUAUAUAUGUGUGUGUGUCAAAAUAAACUUCUUUUAAAUGAAUAUAUUUUUGUACAAUUCGUUUUAUAGAUUGUGUAAACGCGACUUAUUGUGAAGGCUGCUUGAUUCAAAAAAAUCCAAGAGAUCAGUGUUUAAACAUAAAAGUUUUAAAUACACAAAAUGUUGAUAUUUCAAUAGGAUUUGUUGACCCUAUCAAUGUUAAAAAAAAAAAAAAAUAAUAAUAAUAAUAAUAAUAAUAAUAAUAAUAAUAAUAAUAAUAAUAGAACGACCGAACAAACGAACAUAACAUGCAAAUUGAAAUGAACUUAUUUUAUCUUUUUGUUUAUCCCAAAAAUUCUCAAACAUGUGUUUAAUUAACAAAAAUAACCUACGGGAUAUACCAUUCGUAUGGGAUAAACCUGAGUUUGACUUUUCUCAGUGUUUACCUGAUAUAAAUAAAUUUAAAUCAGCAUCCACAGAACUUUUAAAUAAAGGUAUGGACAAAGUUGAAACUAGUAAGCACAUCUUCAGAUUAAUUAAUUUAUACAUAUAUGUAACAAAACUUGUAGAAGAUAAUAAUGUUGAUCCUUUAAACAUAUCCAUAUCAUUCGAAAACAUAAAUACGAAUUUAAUAAAAGCAAAUGAAGAAUUAUUAAAUGGAAAAAAUGCUUCUUUAAUAUGUCCACUGAAUGUAAAUAAUUUAAAAAUGUUUAAUUUACGAGCAACACAAUCCUUGGUCUUAUAUAAGCGUUUGUACAUUCCGCAAAGUAAUAAAGUAACAAGUAGCCAAAACUUAAAAAUCGAAAUAACAAAUGAAAAAGGUUACAAUGUAACGAAUUACUUUUUUAUGCAAAAAUAA
This 1247-nucleotide long non-coding RNA is filed under the name Piliocolobus tephrosceles (Ugandan red Colobus). RNAcentral's name for it is "lncRNA (ENSPTEG00000000588.1)". Lineage: Eukaryota; Metazoa; Chordata; Mammalia; Primates; Cercopithecidae. The record is from RNAcentral.